UCUUCGUAGCCUUUAUGACUCGAGUGAUUAAGCCUGUAAGGGUUUAAAACCUGGUGCCCUAAAGUCAUCUGAUUUGGGAGUCAUCGGCCUAAAACUCGCUACAGGGGUCAUUUAGAAAGUUUAAGGGAGAGACGUCCACACAAAGAGUGGUUAAAGAAUAAAGAUAUAUAGGAAAAAAAAAAAAAAAAAAAAAAGAGAAGUUGAUUAAGCCCCGAACACUUGUUUUAGAGGAUUAGACCUUUGAUAAGGGGUAGGUAACUUGGUUGAUUCCUAGAGGUUGAAGCAGUCAAAAAUAAAGAGAAUCCUCAUUUGUUGACAUGUGGAACUACAAUCAGUAAAAUCUAACCAAACUUGAGUGGUGUAAGAAACUAGUAUUGACAAUUUAACAUUAGGUUACACCCUUGGAAAGAGAAAAGAAAAUAAGUUUGGGGGUGUGUGAACCCCACGAGCAAGGUAAGGAAAAAUUUGACUUCUAAGGUUGGGAAUUGGGUCAACUUAUUAUUGUACAGCGUUGCACUUGACUCUCCACACACACACCCGUUUUGCAUUGAAUAAGUGAGAAUUUAACUUUUGCAUUAUAGCUUUGAAGUGGUUCAUGGAAUCAAAGUUAUAUUUUUAAUUCUAAGACAUGAAGGCAAGUUAUCUAGCGAAAUGUAUUUUUAGUGAUUUCGUUUGUCUUGAUUGUGCUUGUGUGUCCGUUAAUUAUUCUUAUGUGCUUUAGUGUUUGCUCGAGGACUAGCAAAUGGUUAAGUUUGGGGGUAUUUGAUGAGUUUGUUUCACUCAUGGUUUUCGCACAUUUUUAGCUUGAUUAAAUACUAGAUUUUAUGAGUGUAGAACGUUUUUGAUGUGUUUGUUAGUGUUGUUUUGAAGAUAAGGAGAAGCAAUGAGAAAAGAAGUAUUAAAGUGGAUGAAGAGGCCAAAAACACGGAAUUGGGGCAGAAAGAUGGCGCUUAGGCGCUACGAAACGAAGAAAAGAUGAAAAUUGAACCCGAGAGGCAGCGCCUAGGCGCUACAAUCAUAGCGCCCAGGCGCUACCACCAGCGCCUAGGCGCUGAAGACAAGCGCCCAGGCGCUACAGCCAGCGCCUAGGCGCUGUCUUGUAGCGCCUAGGCGCUGCGAUUGGCGAUUUAGGGCGCGUUUUUUUGGGCCGUUUUUAAAGCCAUAGAAACCCUACUUCAACAGAAAAACGUGGAGGCACAUAUAAAUACAUCCUCCUCAUACUUUUGAAGGGGCUGGACAUAUUGGAGAGAAAAACAACAAGAAGGGAGAUUCAAGGGAGAAAUUUAAGAAGAUUAACACCAAGAAUUGAAGAUUGGAAGCACUCAUUGGAAGAGGAAGGAGAUCUUGGUGCAAGAAUUCCAUUUUUUCUUCCACAUCUUUAUUUCAAACUCGGUGAUGUAUUCUAAGACAAUCUCAUAUUUUUCUUCGUUUCGUAGCGCCUAGGCGCUAUAAGUAUAGCGCCUAGGCGCCAUCUUUCUGCCUCAAUUCCGUGUUUUUGGCCUCUUCAUCCACUUUAAUACUUCUUUUCUCAUUGCUUCUCCUUAUCUUCAAAACAACACUAACAAACACAUCAAAAACGUUCUACACUCAUAAAAUCUAGUAUUUAAUCAAGCUAAAAAUGUGCGAAAACCAUGAGUGAAACAAACUCAUCAGUUACAAC
This 1660-nucleotide long non-coding RNA is filed under the name Olea europaea subsp. europaea. The record is from RNAcentral. Lineage: Eukaryota; Viridiplantae; Streptophyta; Magnoliopsida; Lamiales; Oleaceae.